Molecule: transfer RNA, 73 nt
Filed under: Bacteroidales bacterium
Lineage: Bacteria; Pseudomonadati; Bacteroidota; Bacteroidia; Bacteroidales
Description: tRNA-His
Rfam family: tRNA
About the family: Transfer RNA (tRNA) molecules are approximately 80 nucleotides in length. Their secondary structure includes four short double-helical elements and three loops (D, anti-codon, and T loops).
Source: RNAcentral
GUAUCUGUAGUUCAGCGGUUAGAGCACCGGAUUGUGGUUCCGGUUGUCGUGAGUUCGAAUCUCACCAGGUACC